This 550-nucleotide ribosomal RNA is filed under the name uncultured bacterium. RNAcentral describes it as "bacterial SSU rRNA". It matches the Rfam family "Bacterial small subunit ribosomal RNA", at positions 355 to 896 of the family's 1533-position model. The record is from RNAcentral.
UGGGGAAUCUUCCGCAAUGGACGAAAGUCUGACGGAGCAACGCCGCGUGAGUGAUGACGGCCUUCGGGUUGUAAAGCUCUGUUAAUCGGGACGAAUGGUUCUUGUGCGAAUAGUGCGAGGGUUUGACGGUACCGGAAUAGAAAGCCACGGCUAACUACGUGCCAGCAGCCGCGGUAAUACGUAGGUGGCAAGCGUUGUCCGGAAUUAUUGGGCGUAAAGCGCGCGCAGGCGGAUUGGUCAGUCUGUCUUAAAAGUUCGGGGCUUAACCCCGUGAUGGGAUGGAAACUGCCAAUCUAGAGUAUCGGAGAGGAAAGUGGAAUUCCUAGUGUAGCGGUGAAAUGCGUAGAUAUUAGGAAGAACACCAGUGGCGAAGGCGACUUUCUGGACGAAAACUGACGCUGAGGCGCGAAAGCCAGGGGAGCGAACGGGAUUAGAUACCCCGGUAGUCCUGGCCGUAAACGAUGGGUACUAGGUGUAGGAGGUAUCGACCCCUUCUGUGCCGGAGUUAACGUAAUAAGUACCCCGCCUGGGGAGUACGACCGCAAGGUUG